Molecule: transfer RNA, 83 nt
Filed under: Buchnera aphidicola (Sipha maydis)
Lineage: Bacteria; Pseudomonadati; Pseudomonadota; Gammaproteobacteria; Enterobacterales; Erwiniaceae
Description: transfer RNA Tyrosine
Rfam family: tRNA
About the family: Transfer RNA (tRNA) molecules are approximately 80 nucleotides in length. Their secondary structure includes four short double-helical elements and three loops (D, anti-codon, and T loops). Further hydrogen bonds mediate the characteristic L-shaped molecular structure. tRNAs have two regions of fundamental functional importance: the anti-codon, which is responsible for specific mRNA codon recognition, and the 3' end, to which the tRNAs corresponding amino acid is attached (by aminoacyl-tRNA synthetases). tRNAs cope with the degeneracy of the genetic code in two manners: having more than one tRNA (with a specific anti-codon) for a particular amino acid; and 'wobble' base-pairing, i.e. permitting non-standard base-pairing at the 3rd anti-codon position.
Source: RNAcentral
GGUGAGGUUCCUGAGUGGCCAAAAGGAGCAGACUGUAAAUCUGACGUCUAACGACUUCGAAGGUUCGAAUCCUUCCCUCACCA